UGGGGACUUUCAUCUAUGCCUAACUGGAACCUAGAUUUGGCAUCCGCAAUGAAACCAUAUAGCUGGCCCCUCAUGUAAUCUCGGUAAGUACUGGAGAUAAUUCUAGGUGUUCUCUGCUAAGAAAAGGACGUGAUUAUGAUAAUAACCAUCUGGCAAAGUUUGGUCCAUACUUUGUCUGUGAUGGGCCAUAUUUGUUGCUUCUACUUGAUAGGUGGUAUUUUA
RNAcentral lists this long non-coding RNA (222 nucleotides) under Elaeis guineensis (African oil palm). RNAcentral describes it as "long non-coding RNA (EGUI_LNC076082)". The record is from RNAcentral. Lineage: Eukaryota; Viridiplantae; Streptophyta; Magnoliopsida; Arecales; Arecaceae.